UACGUAGGGGGCAAGCGUUGUCCGGAAUCAUUGGGCGUAAAGAGCGUGUAGGCGGCCAGAUAAGUCCGCUGUGAAAUCUCGAGGCUCAACUUCGAGCUGUCGGUGGAAACUGUCUGGCUAGAGUCCGGAAGAGGAGAAUGGAAUUCCUGGUGUAGCGGUGGAACGCGCAGAUAUCAGGAGGAACACCGGUGGCGAAGGCGGGUCUCUGGGCCGUUACUGACGCUGAGGAGCGAAAGCGUGGGGAGCGAACAGG
RNAcentral lists this ribosomal RNA (253 nucleotides) under uncultured bacterium. Its description in RNAcentral is "partial 16S ribosomal RNA". It matches the Rfam family "Bacterial small subunit ribosomal RNA", at positions 524 to 776 of the family's 1533-position model. The record is from RNAcentral.